Molecule: long non-coding RNA, 1150 nt
Organism: Bufo bufo (common toad)
Lineage: Eukaryota; Metazoa; Chordata; Amphibia; Anura; Bufonidae
Exons: 2
Source: RefSeq, a predicted model, not a curated record
AUUCAUUUUCCCAUCACAUUAUACACUGCUCAUAUCCAGGAGUUAUGACCACCCUGCAAUCCAGCAGUGGUGGCUGUGCUUGCACAUUAUAGGAAAAAGCACCAGCCUAUGUGCACUCCUGAGGUCUCGUCCACCAGAGAGUCCGGCACUUUUUCCUAUAGUGUGCUAGCAUGGCCACCACUGGUGGCAGGGUGGUCAUAACCAUGCAAACGAGCAGUGUAUAAUAUGAUGGAAAAAUGAAUCCAGCCAGCAAAGGAACCAUUAUGGACAAUAACAAUACCUUAGUAAGUGCCUUGUAUUAACUUUCUCUACAUGAUAAAUGCCACGUGCUGAAGUGAUACAACCCCUUUUAAGUAAAAUUCACAGAAAUUUUGUUUACUCUAACGUCUUCCACAGCAGUUCACAUUACUGGAAUGCACAAGUGUUCACUUUACCCCACUAUUAUUCCACAUUUUAUGCAAAGGCCACCUGUAAAAGGGACAGAAUUAAAUAUUGUGACCACUUGUAAACCAAGACUUCAAGACUUGAAAGAUAGAUUUAUUAAGACUGGCAUCUGGGCCCACAGACAUGUCAUCAUAUAUUAUGGAUCACCUUGUCCCAGGAUAACGCAGCCUUGCAUAAUUUCAAGCUUAGUAUCUGUUAUCUUCAUAACAUCAGCACCACCCGAUUUGUCUUCUGAGCCUUCUCAUUUGACUGUGCUGAAUGAGCAUGUUAUAGCUAUAGUAACAUACAUGUAACUUCCAUACAAUGGCCCAUGGACAAACUUUCCCUCGACUUUAACAACAUACCUCGCCUACAAUAACAAGAAUUCACUGAGACCUCGCCUAGGUAACAAUCUAUAGUUUCUUAAUAUGAACCACCAGCUUCUGGAGUUGAUAUCCAUCCUAGAGACAGGAAAGAUAAUAUAGUUCUUACCACCGAAAGUCUUUUCACUAGAGAUAAGGACACAGACUUGGCCAUUCAUGAACUCGCGAUGGCCCACAGCAGUUAUUCUUAAAUGUCACUGCUAUUAAUAUGCCUUAACGUCUGUUUAAAAGGACACUAAAGGAUCAUCUAAAAACUGACUUCAAAUAAUAGAAGUUAUAUGAUAUUGACCUGUUCACUGAGUCUAGUUGGCAUAUUGAGUAAUACAAAAUAUGAAGUUAAAAAA